This is a long non-coding RNA of Papaver somniferum (opium poppy), 568 nucleotides long. RefSeq lists it as uncharacterized. NCBI's taxonomy places the organism in Eukaryota, Viridiplantae, Streptophyta, Magnoliopsida, Ranunculales, Papaveraceae. The transcript is spliced from 3 exons. The record is from RefSeq and is a predicted model, not a curated record.
UUAAUGCCUCUGUAUUUAGUUAACCUCUUGGAUUAGUCAGCUGCUAGCUUUGGGGGCGCUACAGUAUCACGUGGACACCAACUUAAAAUAUAUGGUUGUUGACCUAAUAAUAAGCUUCCUUCCGAAUGUGUUAAAGCUCAAAACUGGAGGUUGUAACCAUUAUGAGUAAUGGUGAUGGGUGCUUUACCGCAGGGUGCUAGACAUAUCGCCCAAUGGUACAAAAUGAUGCGACAAAAAACUUAGGUGAUUUGUUCCCUAACAUUUUUAUAGUUAAUUGUUUUUCAUUGUUUACCUUUGACAGCAAUGUACUUUUUUGGCAUGCACGUUCCUUCUUACUUAGAAAUUUUCAAACCUUCAGCUAAUGAGGUUUUAAAUCAUGUGACAAUGUAAUAAGGAUCUUGGAUGUUUGAAUAUGAUUGAAGACCCAAAAUGGUUAUAUAUACUAAUAUCCAUGAUUUAUGGUAUUUGAAGGCUCCAGGCAGUAUCUCAAGAAAUUAUAAUACAACUUCAAGGUUUACACAUACAUUCAAACUACUGGGGUUGAGAUACUAUUUACCGUUUAGUCUGA